UCCCGAGCCGAAACCCUUUUCUCCUCUUUCUCACACGCGACGCCGCGCGAUCCUUCUCCUCUCGUGGCGGAAAUGAAGAAGUAGGCUUAGGGCUUCACUCCGGCGGCCGGCGAGCUCCCUCCUCCGCGGGUUCUUCACAUAUCCGAGCUCCUUUCGACAAGGUGAGCGUACAAGCACAAGAAGGGGCCGAGAUCUUCAUCCCUCCGAACCCUAGCAACCCUUCCUUCGGCUAUAAAGGAACAGCUAAAGUAUAAAGAGGAAGGCGACAAGGAGAUGCGUGAUGGAUGGUGUGUGAUGUUGGACUAUGGGAGAGAUCUGGGAACAUCAUUAAGUUAUUUUGGUUUUGGUGAAAACAUUUGAGACUGUAUCAUUUAUUCUAGAUCUUUGAGAAUAUCUUUGGUUCUAGAUUGCAUGCUGUGAUGUAAUUGUUAGUAAGUUAGUACUU
Zingiber officinale is the source of this 445-nucleotide long non-coding RNA. RefSeq lists it as uncharacterized. NCBI's taxonomy places the organism in Eukaryota, Viridiplantae, Streptophyta, Magnoliopsida, Zingiberales, Zingiberaceae. The transcript has 2 exons. The record is from RefSeq and is a predicted model, not a curated record.